UAGGGAAUCUUCGGCAAUGGGGGCAACCCUGACCGAGCAACGCCGCGUGAGUGAAGAAGGUUUUCGGAUCGUAAAGCUCUGUUGUAAGAGAAGAACGUGUGUGAGAGUGGAAAGUUCACACAGUGACGGUAACUUACCAGAAAGGGACGGCUAACUACGUGCCAGCAGCCGCGGUAAUACGUAGGUCCCGAGCGUUGUCCGGAUUUAUUGGGCGUAAAGCGAGCGCAGGCGGUUUAAUAAGUCUGAAGUUAAAGGCAGUGGCUUAACCAUUGUUCGCUUUGGAAACUGUUAAACUUGAGUGCAGAAGGGGAGAGUGGAAUUCCAUGUGUAGCGGUGAAAUGCGUAGAUAUAUGGAGGAACACCGGUGGCGAAAGCGGCACUCUGGUCUGUAACUGACGCUGAGGCUCGAAAGCGUGGGGAGCAAACAGG
This 429-nucleotide ribosomal RNA is filed under the name bacterium. RNAcentral's name for it is "partial 16S ribosomal RNA". It matches the Rfam family "Bacterial small subunit ribosomal RNA", at positions 355 to 776 of the family's 1533-position model. The record is from RNAcentral.